This 82-nucleotide non-coding RNA is filed under the name uncultured Dysosmobacter sp. RNAcentral describes it as "pemK RNA". It matches the Rfam family "pemK RNA". Lineage: Bacteria; Bacillati; Bacillota; Clostridia; Eubacteriales; Oscillospiraceae. The record is from RNAcentral.
ACAAUGGUACUCCCGUCCAGCCACAGUUUCAAGCAAUGGGGGCGGCUCUGUCAGAACGGCAGUUGGGGUGAAACGCCCGUGA